Molecule: non-coding RNA, 792 nt
Filed under: Onthophagus laticollis
Lineage: Eukaryota; Metazoa; Arthropoda; Insecta; Coleoptera; Scarabaeidae
Source: RNAcentral
UAAAAAUUUGAUUCCAGUUUUUAAGUUUGAUUUAUAUUUUUAUUAUAUGUAAAUUUUUGUGUUAAUUUUUUUUUAAUAGGGAAAUUAAGAAUAUUUAGUGGCAAUAAUUAGAUUUAUAUAAUAAAAGAAAUUUUGAUAUAGGAAUAUAAAAUAGUAUUGGUAAAAUUUGUGCCAGCAAUCGCGGUUAAACAGGUGAUACAAUUAAACUUAUAUUUGAUAGUAAUAAAUAUGAUUAAUUAUAAUUUAAAGUUAAGUUUAUUAGGUGAAAUUAGAAAUUUAAAUUAAAUUAGAAAAAUUAAAUUAUAAGAUUGCGAAAUUCUAUUAUUAAACUAGGAUUAGAUACCCUAUUAUAAUGAAUGUAAAUGAAAAUAUCAGGGGAGUAGUAGUUUAUGGUCUUGAAAUUUAAAGAAUUUGGCGGUAUUUUAGUCUUUUCAGAGGAACCUGUCCUAUAAUUGAUGAUCCACGAUUAAUUUAACUUAAUUUAAUAGUUUGUAUAUCGUCGUAGGUUGAAUAUCUUUAAAAAGUGUAUAAUAUUCAAAAUUUAGUAUAUAUAAAAGAAAUCAGAUCAAGGUGUAGCUUAUAAUUAAGGAGAGAUGGGUUACAAUAAAAUUAUUUAUAAUGGUUAUAAUAAUUAAAAUUAUUAUAUAAAGUGGAUUUGAAAGUAAUAUAUUUUAGUUAAAACAUAUGAUUUAAGCUCUAUAAUAUGUACAUAUCGCCCGUCACUUUCAUUGAAAAUUAAGGUGAAAUAAGUCGUAACAUAGUAGGCGUACCGGAAGGUGUGCCUGGGCUGAG